RNAcentral lists this ribosomal RNA (245 nucleotides) under uncultured bacterium. RNAcentral describes it as "partial 16S ribosomal RNA". It matches the Rfam family "Bacterial small subunit ribosomal RNA", at positions 524 to 768 of the family's 1533-position model. The record is from RNAcentral.
GACGUAGGUGGCGAGCGUUGUCCGGAAUUACUGGGCGCAAAGGGCGUGUAGGCGGCCUGCUAAGUCAGACGUGAAAUCCCCGGGCUUAACCCUGGGACUGCGUUUGAUACUGGUGGGCUUGAGGACGGGAGAGGGAAGUGGAACUCCGUGUGUAGCGGUGAAAUGCGUAGAUAUACGGAAGAACACCAGUGGCGAAGGCGGCUUUCUGGACCGUCCCUGACGCUGAGGCGCGAAAGCCAGGGGAG